Molecule: unclassified non-coding RNA, 240 nt
Filed under: soil metagenome
Description: partial contains 5.8S ribosomal RNA, internal transcribed spacer 2, and large subunit ribosomal RNA
Source: RNAcentral
AACCAUAGAAACCUGCGGAGUACCUGCGGAAGGAUCAUUACAGAGUUGCAAAACUCCCUAAACCAUUGUGAACGUUACCUAAACCGUUGCUUCGGCGGGCGGCCCGGGUCCUUCCCGGCGCCCCUCGGCCCUCGCGGGCGCCCGCCGGAGGUAAACCAAACUAUUGCAUUGUAUGGCCUCUCUGAGUCUUCUGUACUGAAUAAGUCGAAACUUUUAGCAACGGAUCUCAGAUCGGAAGAG